Molecule: long non-coding RNA, 23972 nt
Filed under: Phoenix dactylifera (date palm)
Lineage: Eukaryota; Viridiplantae; Streptophyta; Magnoliopsida; Arecales; Arecaceae
Description: long non-coding RNA (PDAC_LNC000184)
Source: RNAcentral
GGGGUUUUUGGGUGGUGCGCUUUAAUGUUGCUGCAGAUAUAGUCAUAUAGGAGAGGAAGGAGAGAAGAGGCAAAGAUAAUAGAGAAGGGGGAGGAGCAGGCAAGACAACCCAAAGGGGCAACACAGGGAUUGGAGUUAUUAUAUAGAUUUGGUACCGUAUCAUGUUAAAAAUUAAUAGCAAAUAAUUCAAGUGAUUUGAGCUUUGUGCUGGAAGUGAGAAAGGCCAACAAUGACCAAUACUAACCAUGGCAUUAUUUCAAGAAUGAAAUUGUGGUCUUGGCCCGACAAGAAGCACAAGCAUGAAUUUCAUUGAAUAUUCAUUAUUCCAAUUGAAGUUAGUUGAAACCCAUAGACAACAUCUCAGUGAAGUUACCAUUGAAUAUGGCCUCCAUUCUUUGUGCAACGAUGUAGAGUGAGAGCAUACUAUCGAAGCAGGUACCAAGAACAUUGAUUGGGUAAUGUAUCCCUAAAGACUGAAAUUAUCGACAAAGUUAGGCAUUUUCAUCAUUGCUUCCACUCACAAGCAAAAACAUCUUGUGGAACCCUUCAAUGGAAGCAAUACAUAUUUGGCAAUUGGUAAACACAAGUUACAACAGCACUUCUAGUAAUUGAGUAGUAAACUUAUCAAGUUGAGCUUGAACCAAACAAGUUUUGUUGGAACUUAAUCUAUAUAUCAAAUGACCACACAAUCUCAAUUAAUUCUCCUGUUACUGUAUAAAUGCAACUUGAAUUCUUCUUCAAUCAUAAUCCUGAUCUCCAUAUUCACAGUUCUACCAUCCAUCUAUCAAUUCCAUUCUGCCACUAUUAUAGCAAGGAUGAUACUAUUUGAUUGGAUGUGUGUAUUAGUUAAAGAACUAGUACAAUGCAAUUCAUAGGAUAUAGUCAAAAAGAAUGUUCCAUAGUUUAUUUAUAAAUGGUGUCCUGCAGACUGGCUUCAGUUUCAUUAAUAUGCAAAACAUAUACUGUCAAAUGCUUUUACUGAUAAUGGGUCCAACAACAAGGGAAAAAAACAUGCUAACUGAACUAUACUAUGGAGCACUUCUAUAACAACAGUUCACAGAAGAAUCAGAAGGUCUAUUUCAUGUGCAUGGCUUGUUGCCCUCUAAUUUGUACCAUGUGUGAUGCAUUUAUACUGAAAUUCCUAUUCCUGGAACAUAUUAGUACAAAUGAUUUCAGUAGGUAUCCAACAUAUUCUGUUUAAUAGUUCAUUAACAUGGGAAUUUUGGUUCUAGUGCGAUUAAAAGGCAUCAUAUGUCAGUUUAGGUAGAGGGGCAUAAAUAGAUGUCAUCAAACAAAAGGAUAAGGAACUUCAUUCAUGAUGAGAAACAAUGGUUGACAUAAUUGCCUAAAGUUUAAUAAUGCAACUUCAGAAAGAACUUAAGCAUGUAUCACUUUAACAUCUCCACAAGUUUUCAUACUAAGAUUGCUUCCUUUAUGUUUCUGGCAAAUUUCCAACAUUGUAAGUGUAUUUCUCGAAUCAAAGUAGUACACCUGUAAUGUAAUCACUCGCUAUAGAAAAUAAGAGAUGUCAGUACGGAUAAUUGACAAUGGUUUUGUUAUCAUGCUUAAAGAGGAGGAGGAGGAGGAGGAGGAGGAGGAGAGGACCAGAAGCACCAGCAGCAAAGGAAGAAGAGAAAGAGAAGUAAAGAAAAGAAGAAGAAAAAAGGAGUAGUCGCAUAGCAUCGACAGCAGGAAUGCAAAGAAGAAGAGGAUGAGAAGGAGGAGCAGGAGCACCAACAGCAGCACCAGCAACAAGGAGGAGGAGGAGGAGGAGCAGUAGCACCAGCAAAGAAGAACCUGCAGCAGGAUAGCGGAGGAGGAGAAGCAGCAGGAGCACCCGCAGCAACAUGGCAACAGAGGAGGAGGAGGAUAAAAAGGACUAGGAGCGCCAGCAGUGAAGAAGACGAGAAAGAGGAAAAGAGAAUGGGUUGGGUUUCUCUUCCAACCCGUCCCGGAAUGGGCGUUAUGGCAAAGAACAAGAAGAAAAAGAAAGAAGGAUGAAGAAAAGGAGGAGCAGGAGCAGGAGCAGCAGCAACAGCAGGGUAGCAGAGAAAGACUUAUCAGAGAGUGGAGAAGCUGGUCAGAGUCCUAGAUCCGCUGGAGAAGAAGAAGAGCUAGUUGGAAUCCGCUAGACAAGGAGCAUCAGAGCCUCUAAAUCUGGCAUUCAUCUUUUUCCUUUUGGCUAAUCAUCAUGAUCAAGUGGCUGAAAUUCAAAAAUGAUGAGGCAUGCUUUUUUCUAUGCCUAGAAUUUUCUCAAUGUACAAAAAAGUCAUGCCAUUUUAGCGCUUAAGCAAAUGGACUUCACCUUGGGCUACAAGGUGGUUUGGCUGGGCUUUGCCUGCACCUUGCACCUAGGCAUGCUUCAGGCGUGCCUUUGACACACUGUUGUUAACAAAGAAAUGUCAUCUUUUUUCCUCGCACAGAAUGAGGUCAUUAGAAGAUAAACUAUUAAAAAUUUGCAUUUCAUAAAAUUUGUUUUAUGAUUCACAUGGAUAAUAGAUCAAAAGCCAAAUGGAGAGGAAAGAGAUAAAUUUUUGAACAUUAAAAAAAGGAAAACAAAAGUAAUGCUUCCUACAUGAUUGUGUAACAACUUUCUAUACAUUCCUUGACCAAGGUUCUGAAUUUUGCAAAAAAAAAAAGAUACUAUUCUGGAUAUACAGCAAUCUUCCAUACACGAAGAUACUCUCACCUUUUUGACCCUUGAGUCAACUAUAUGUUCCUCAAACUGUGUUAACUGGAAGGAGUAGAUCCUGCGCUUCUUAAACACAUCAUAUCUCCUUGCCCAUAAACCUAGGAUGACAAAAGAAAAGUUCAAUAGAAAUAAUACAAAAAACGAAAAAAUACAACUUCAAUCGAAAGAAUACAAUUAAACAAAAACUGUUGCAUAAUGGGUAAAAAACAGAAAUAAUAUAACGUCAUAUUGAAAAAAAAAAUUGAAGGAUAGUUUAAUUCCUGCAUAGACAACAUAAAAGGCUGGACAACUACAAUAGAAGUUUAGAUUGUCUUAAGCUUCUUGAAAAUCCAAAGUUCCUCACCAUUCUAAGAGUUGUUGGAUAUCAGAAAUCUAGAUAUAUCCUCGGAUCUUCAACAACCAGAUCAUGCUUAAAUAAUCAAGUCAAGGAGCGUAACAAAUCUGAGGAUUAUUCACCAAUGGUAAAAAUUUGUAAAUCAGAAAAUUUCAAGAGAAAGUAAGGACAUGCCAAAGAUUAAAAAUAUCUACAUUAAAAAAAUAUAGAAAAUGUUUAAUUUGGUAUUUAUGGUGGUAUGUUUUAUUAAUUAUAUGAAACAUGCGGUCCCUUCCUCGCCUCUGCCCCGCCCCCCCCCCCCCCUCCUCCAACAUAUGCAUGUGAUUGGGAGAAUUUGUUUUCAGAAAAUGCCACUUAAAACUAAUUGGGUGUUCUGUGAGAAGUCUUUAUGACUUCUAAAUAUAAACACUUUGCUUUUCAUCUACCCUAUCCUACACCAGUAAAUGCUUUAUAAAUUUCCCUAUCUUUCCAUCAACUACCAAGACUAAAAUGUAGACUUGAAAGGUGAUUGUUCUGGAAUAAACUCGAAUUGGUUUUUCAAAAAUCAUCAUUUUCUUUCAUCCAUCAUACCAUCACCAUGUUAUCUAGAAAAAUGGGAGGACCCAAGUUAACAUAGAUUGACUGGUUAUGAAGGACCUGGAAAAGCUUGCAAUAACACAAGAUGCAGCCUAAAAUUAAGAUUAAAGGAAAAAAGUCAUAAGGCCAAAAUCCAUAUUGUGCAGAUAAAACUUAAAGGUUGUGUUUAUGGUUAUCAUAUGAUAUUCCAUCACAUCCUCCCACAACUUUGAAAUGUGGCUCAAGUUUAAUACCUCAAUAUUUAGUGUGAUUCUGUAUAUUGCCCUUACAGUUACAAAAGGGUACUUAGAUACUUGUUUAGUUGUUCACCAUGGUACUUACUUUCAAUAUUUAACUAGAUAAUCUGUUUUACCAUGAUAACCCAAUCUUUCAAUGAUUAUUCUUCCCUAAACAAUUGGCACCGUGUCAACUCUUCGUGCCGCACCCCUUUUUGCCUACUUAAAAAGGUGCCUCCAAAGUUGAAUUAUUUACAUGAAUUGAAUGGUGACAAAUAUAAGUCAUCCUGAUUUUGGCUUCUCUUAUAUUUUCCUCUAAGAGAUUCGUCAAGCAAUUACUUAUGUAAAUAAAUAUUAAGUCUUUCUUAAUCUCACCAUCUUUCAAUAGAAACUGUAUUAUAUCAUUCUUGAUGAACUUUAUUUGAUCAGUAUCUGCUAUGUAUUAGUAUUCCUUCUUCAAUACCUCACUUAUAUAAAAUUAACACGUCUACUUCUACAGAAAUCUAUGACCUAAAAAUUUCUCCUUCUCCAUUCAUAUCUCUCUCUCAAGCUAAAAUAUUCAAGUAAGAAGAUACCCUAAUACCGAGUUUGUUCUAGAAUUUCCUUUGUCCAUGCAAAGACUGAAGUCCAGUACCAAUGGCUCAAACACUAAUAUAUAUAUACUUCAUCAACAAUUGACAAGCAUGUGUGCUUCUCAAAAUUGGACCGCGGUAUUAAGAAAGCAUGGCAGACGAGAUUCACACUAGCAUAUACCUCUUGAUCAACACACAAGUACAACAGUUGAAUAUAGCAGCAAUAAAGGUACUAAAGGAAGUUGUACCAAUCAUAAAUAAGUAGUGGAAUUUUGUUUGAGAUAACAUGGGCAUGUGCCUAGUAAUGUGACUCAGGUUUGUGUCGACGAGGUCAGGAAUGAUGACAGGAAGACCUGAUAAUAUCAUGACGGAAUUGUGACAAACGUUUUAGCCAUUAAUAGGAAUGGAUUAACAAAUAACACAAUUGCAAGAAAUCUGUUUGAUGAUUCACCAAGAAAUACAAGUUGUUAUCAACUUCAUGAAUCAUUCAAGAGCAAGAUCAGAUAAUAACAUGACGGAAUUGUGACAAAUGAUUUAGACAUUAAUAGAACUGGAUUCACAAAAUAACACAAUUGCAAGAAAUCUCUUUGACGCUUCACCUUCACCAAUAAAUACAAGCUCUUAUCAACUUCAUACAUCAUUGUAGAUAUGUUUAACAUGAUUCACAAGUCACAUAUUUAUACAAGAACUACUUUUCAAACAUCUAGUUAUGAUGGCUUGAAGAGGCACCAAUAUGGAUGAAUUUUAGUUGCUUAUUUUUGUUUAAGUUUCCAAUAAAAAUAUUGGUGAAGAGAGACUUCUUAUUACUUCUAUGCCCAGGUGUGUUCACUUCUCCUCAGGUCAUUCAUGCAUGGCUCAUGUCCAUUGGAUAACUUCCCAGCACUCUUAAGAACGUCGCAAAUUCCUGUCAAGAGAAGGCUCUGUCAUAAUUACCUUUGGGUUUCCUAGAUAUCUUGCAGGGACUUCCGAAAGACAAUACCUUUAGGUGCCUAAGGGCAUUCUGAGCAUUUGGUGCAGCCAUUGAUGCUUCAAAAUCUACAUAGAAAAGAUAGUCAAAGUACCUGGGCACAGUAUUUUCAACAAAGUUAAUAUCCAACCAUUUGUAUAUUUAACAUUUGUAACAUUUUUUGGAUACGUCGAUAUACGUAAAUGCACAAAGAAACAUGAAAAUAUAGAACACUUCUGGUAAUAACUUUAGAGGCCCAUUGCUGCCAUCUUCAGUCACGCGUAAGGGCUUUUUCUUUCGAGGACGACUUUCAAUCUGAGACAAAAGUAUUUAUUACAUCAGAAAGCAUGCCCACAUGCUCAAUACUGCACUAAUGUCAAAACCAUAUGCAGUGGUACAAGAUGUUGAAACAUGCCUUUGUGAGGUUGAUGUCUCUCAUGGCAAAAACAGCAAGGGCCUUAAAAAGCACACCAGGCCCUUCUUCUAGAGAGAAAACUAUGCUCGUCUGAGAAUGACAGGAUACUAGUGUCAUCAGUCAGAUGAAGUAAACAAGCUAUGGACCAGAAUAAUAUAGAAAUUAAAACAUAAGUUCCACUUGUGCUUCCCUAUAAAGAAAGGUUAGUGAUGUUAUCUUUAAAAAAAAUAGCAAGCUACUUCUGUUGCUAAGCAUACCUUAAAUGGUUUGUUGGUACCUGGAAUAAUUGGCUCUCGUGCUAGCAUUAAAAAUCGAGUAACAUUAUCAGGGUCAUCCUACAGAACAAGCAAUAUUUUACUGAAGUACACAGAUAGCCAUGUGCAUCCAAUCAAUGAGAAUAGAGGAAGUACCUGGAUAUCUUGGGCAAGAAUAUUCAAACCAUAAAUUUCAGCAGCCAAUGAACUGGCAACUGCCCCUGCAUCUUGGAGUUUUUGGACAGCAACAAACUAGAUAGACAAUAUGUUUCAUAAAUUUUCAAAAUGAAGGAAAGAAACAUUAGAAAAAGAAUAAAGCUUGGAUCAGUUAGAAUUUUAGUCUCAGAUUUUCCUUAUCAUAUUUGAAGUUUACCACAUCAAAUCUUGAUUUGAAUUAUAAUAAUUUUUACUCAGAAAAUUUAAGAUUGGAUAAGGAAGAAAGAACAAAACUAGAUAACAAAGCUAGAAUCGGUGUCUUACUUUUGCAGCUCCUGCAGUAUCAUCGACAGCUUCUCUGACAACUCCCAACUUUGUAAGUGUAUGCUCACACUGUGCGAGAGCCUGAGAUUUCAAUUGAGUUAGCAACAAGCCACAUGACAUCCUAAUGCCUUUUCAGCUAUAACAAAUUUGACUACAAUGAAAACAAAGGCAAUGUUUACUUGAGGGUGGCUGAGAACUCUUUUUAAAUCUUCCUUUUUCACACCAGGGUUGGCUAGUAAGCAAUGCCGAACUGCAUAUUUUACUUCCCCGACAAUAUGCAAUUUAUGACGAAGUAAAAGGUCGUAGUUGCGAUGGAUGCUACCACCUAAUGAAUUUUCAAUGGGUAGAACUGCCCGAUCAACAAGCCAACGUUCAAGAGCCUGCAAGAUGACAAAAAUAAUGUUAGUCUAAGCAUGCUAUCGAAACCUUAUAGACUGACUUAACCUUGUUAGCAAAUGAUAAGUUCCUGCAGGACGUCAUGGCUUGGGAGUACCAACAUGUCAGAAUAGUGGCCAGGACGAUAGCGGGAUGUACAACAAGAAUCCUUGGAGGUUGUCAAGCAAUCCAAUAAAAGAAAUGGAAGGACUAGAGAACAUGGAUUGAAGUGGUGCAAACAUUUGAAAGAACUUACAGCAGCAAUAUUAUAGUACUUAAAAAGCAUACCUUUUGACAAAGGGUUCACAAAACUAACCCUUGGUAUUUAAAAGAAGGCUCGAUGGCUAUGGUUUAUGGUCAUGGCUUCUCUUGCCUGCAAGUUAUAUGAAGCGGAAAGUCUUGUGCACCUCUGCGGUAGCAAACUGGUUCUUAAGAAUCAUUAUAAACAGGAAGGCCAAUCCUACAGUUUGAAGCCUCUAUCCAUGUAAGACCAAGCUAAUGAGUACAUCAGUAAAUGGUACAAUCUUACAUGCUUUUGCUUUCAGACAGUUUUUUUGGAUGCUUAACACAUGUAGAACAGAUGAUAUCACACAGAAAAAGGUGGGUAUCUCCAGUGAAAAAAUCUUCUUCCAAGUGUUUGAUUUCUCGGCAGUGUAGAAAACCCUAGGCGGCCAAUAUAUUAGUAACAUGAUUUUCCUUUCAGUUUAGAUACUACCAUCCCAUAACUUGGUUCCCCUAAUGCCUCGUGAUUCAGAUCAUAUAGAAAUUUCGACACCGCCAAAGUGAUAACAGCAAAAAUAAAAACUUAACAGAAAUAGUAUCUAAAAGGAAACAAAAAUAUCAAAAACUCACAUCGAAGGCAGUUUCAAAUAGUUCGCAUGGAACGGCUUCGCAAUUCGGGUAUGCCUUUGCCGCCGCAGCUUCACUAUAUGCACCCGGAAGACCCUAUAUCACAGCGAAUCCAUUGCCCAAACCACACCCACAGGCAUCACCAAAAAAAGAAAGCAAGAAAGAGAUAAAUUUCAAGAAAACAAGAAACCGAUAGGAAGAACAGGAAUACGAAAUGAAUAUCGAUUGGAGCCAAAAAAAACAUGUGCAAGAAUUCGAACCUGGUAAGCAACUCGAAGACGAGACCCAUUAACCGAACCAGAGACAUCAGAUAUUGAGAGAGGUUCUAUAACAAACGCCAUUGGAGAAAUUUUGACAUCAAAAGGAGAACAAGAAAAGAAGAAAGAAAGAAAAGAAAAGAACCACAGAUAGAUCUGGCCAAAAAUGAGAUAACUUUGCUUACUGGGUAGCGAUGGGGAGUCCUUGAAAGCGAUCUCGGGCUGAAGAUCAUCGAAGACGGUAUUCAACUCGAGAGCUCCGGUAUUGUUGUUGCCGCCGCUGCCUGUGUCUUCUCCUUGGAUGGAGGUCAUCGCAGAGGCCUUCCGCCGCGAUCUAAUGGCGAUCAUCGAGGGGGUUUUGGUGGGUUUUCUACAGCCCUCGCCGCCGGUGGAUCCCCUUUCGAGCCAUGGGGUUCGCGCGAUGGCUGUGGAAGCCAUCGUUUCCGGGGUAGAAGAGAAGAGAAGGCGAGGGUUUUGAUCCCUCGCUCGCUCUCCGGAUUUGGUUGGAAUAAAGAAGCAAUCACCAGGAGGGGGAAGGCGGCGGACCGGACGUGGCUCCGGGCGUGAAGAAGCGAGCGAGGAACGGAUUUCCGUGAUGGGGGAAACUCCACCGCGGUGAUCGCGCGCCGAUAUGGCAGUUUCGACACGAAUGGCCGAUCCAGUGCGUGGUCGCCGACACCGAAACGCUUCGGCAAUGUAUGGCCCCAAAACCGGGACCCGCGGUUUGCAGCGCGGGCAGCUGCAAUUUGAUCAUGGACUAUGCCGAGCCGAGUCCAGCAGCAGCCCAACUUUAUUCAAAAUAUUCCGACUUGAAAAUCCAUCAAAUCCUACUAUUGACCCUCAAAUUUUAUUUGAUAUUAAAAAAAUAAUGCCCAAGAUUGACCCAACCUAAAUAUCAAUCGAGAUAUACUUGAAUUUAAGUUUGAACUCAAAUUCGAGUUUUAAUAGCAAUUAAAGAAUAUAGUUAAAAUCAAAUAUAACAUAAUUUUACAUUUUAAAAUAUUAAUUAGUGAUAUAUAUAUAUAUAUAUAUAUAUAUAUAUAUAUANNNNNNNNNNNNNNNNNNNNAUAUAUAUAUAUAUAUAUAUAUAUAUAUAUAUAUAACUAGGCUCGUGGGUCUUCAAAUCGAAUAUUUUGCUAUUCGAGUUUGACUCGAAAAACUAUUGGAGCUACUCGUGCUCGAUUUGAGCAUAAUAAUAAUUGAGUCAACUUAAGUUUGGAUUCGAGUCGAGCUCCAGUAACUCGUAAGUUGUUCGGCUCAUUUGUACCUUUAGUCUAUAAGGACCUAACCAACAAUCCUUAUGUUUAGGAGGUUUUUAGUAUGGCCAAGACUGUAAAGCUAACUAUAUUAGAUAAAUGAUCUUAUCAAUUUGGAUUUAAGACUUAUUACACUCUAGCCAUGUCAAUUUGUGAAUAUAUUCUUUUAAUCAAUAUUGAGAGAGUUUGGAGGUAUGAACUUAUUAUGCCACCAAGCUACUCUUGGAGUGGCUUAAACUCCCACACAUACAAUGUGUUUAGGCGUGAUUAACUAUAGCUCGACGUAAGCUUUGAUUUUGGUCCAUGCUAUUGUUGAGCUCAAGUAAAACCAAAGCUUGGUAGCUUGGCUAAGCAACUCACUACCUAUUGGGUUCACUUCUAAAGCUAGAUUCAUAGCAAGUGAUUAUAUAUUUUCUUGUAUCAUGCAAUUACCCAUGUCUCUUUCCAUACUAAAAGCCCUGAGCUUGAGUAGUCCUUUACCAGUUGAGUUCAUAUCAUCUCCAACACACUGUUGAACUAAAGAAGGCCAGUUGAUUGGUCAUGAACAUCUACAUACGACGCAACAACUAAUUGUAUGGGUCCCAUGUGGCAUAUUGUCCCAUAUACAAGAAAUUAUACCCUACAUCGCAUACACCAAGUGGCCAUGCACUCUUUCAAUCAUCUCAUCUCCUUGCUAUAUGAUCUAUUCAUCGUGCACUCAUCUCGAUAGUUGGUCUACAGAAAAAUAUUAAAUCAAGGAGGAUUGGUUGGACAACUAUGGCCAAUAAUCCAACUUGAUUGUUUCCAUUAUUUAUUGCCCUGGAUGUGAAGUAUAUCUUCACAACUAUUUGAAUAAUUGAGGACCAGUACCUUAGAUUCUUGGAACUACUUUCAUAGGAACUGUAUAAUAUGGACUGCUAGAUGAACAUGAGCCAUACCAAAGUAUGAAUAAAAUCUUAUAGAGUACACCGUAUACAUGGUUGUUGCAACUAAGCCAUAUUUUCUUGCCAAACUUCUGAGUUAUGCAUAAACAAGCUUACACAGCAUAUGAUCAAGAGAGAAAGCGUACACAAAAAGGAAAUGAUUUUCCUUGCCCCAAUGUACAUUACUCUCUCUCCCUCUCAUCCUUUAAACAGUAUUUUAAAAGUUACUAUAGUUUACUUUUAACUAAGCAUUCCAUGGUUUUUGCACCAUUUAUGCAACUUAAAAAAUGGUAUGAUAGACUAGACUCCUUGCCCAAAAUCAGAAGCAUAGUAUGUAAAUCUAUGGCAUGAAAUGAUACAGGCUCAACAUCCGAAUGACCCUUGUCUAAUGGACUUACUUAAAAAAAAAAGUCAUCUUGCAAUAAUUUAUGAUUUGCAUCAACCCCAUUUUCUCUUUUUUCCCCUUUUUUUACAAUUAAAUAUGUUUCUACAAAAUAAAGGCAGCUUUUGAUGAAAAUAGCUCUAUUGUAUGCGAUAUUGCUUUCAUAAAUUAAGAUACAACCGGCACAACUUUUUUUUCAAAACAAAAAAAGGGUGCAAUUAACAUUUUGAUGGGAUCUACAUAGUUUUUUAGAUGGAAGGUAUCCGUAUGUCAAGUUAUAAAACUAUAUAUCUGGACUAAAUAUUUAAUGGAGUUUUUUUUUGAUGAUAAAAUAUUUAAUGGAGAUUAUAAUUUAGGGGUUUUUUUAUACAUAUCCUUGCAAUAUAAAAAUGUUGAUCCAGGAUCAGGCCUACAAAAUUAUUAUUUUUAUUUCUCGAAGUUGAAAAGAGACAAUAAUUCUUCCUCAUGUGGAAAAAAUUAUUUCCAAAAGCAGCACUUGGAUCAUCGUUUCUGGUCAUAUAAAGUUAAACAGAGUCAGGUCAGCUCGGGUCCUUCGAGCCCAUUUCCAGCACAAGACCAAUAGAAAUCUGCAACAAAACCGAUAGAGUAUUCUGCCCAAGAAACCCAUGCUCAAAAGAUUUGUAUUCCUUGUUUUGUACCUGAAACGAUGGUCGUCGUGGGAGGGAGACUUGACUUACCAACGCGUCGAGGACUGGCCGGCCGGCUCGGGGCUUCGGUCAAACUCCACCGCGAGUUGAAUGACGCGCCGGCUGGAAACCGUGUGAAAUUGUUUGGCUGAACGAACCGUGUCAUAUUUUGCUGUCAACGCCGUGGCCAGCGGACACGUGUAUUCUAUCACUUCAAUCGCUGUUACAGGACUUAACAUGCCCUGCCGGACCAAUAUUUUUAGAACCUCAACGGAGAGGAAACCGGCAAGCAAUCCGAUCCCCCAGUUAAUAUGUUGGGCCGGUAUAAUAUUAUAAUUAUAUAUAUGUAUUAAAAUAUAUUUUUUUGAAAAAGAAAUUUUUGAUUAAAUCGGUUAUCUAGUCUGACUUUAAAAACGUUAUGCUAGAUUGAAGCCGGUGACAUAUUUGCAUUUAGUAGUUAGGAUAAUGCAAAGUUAUCCUCCCAAUUAGGGGAUUAUUCAACUCAAUAUUUCAAAAGACCAAAGUUUUAUUUGCCAGACUGAUAGCAUAAAGGUUAUUUCAUCCAUAGGGAGAAUUUAUCCCUCCCAAUUACAAUACCACCUUCAUCUCCUCUGUAGAUGUACCCAGAGGUAGGAGAAUAAAUUCAUCCGAUUAGUCGCAAGAAUCGAUGCAUUCAUUUACUUCUUUAUUCAUCCCUCCAAUCAAAUGCUAAAACAUAAGCUACUCUAUGGUGUAGACACUUGUAUUAACCCUUACAAAAUAAACCCCUCGACCAAAUGUAACCUUAUAAUGUUUACGGUCAGAAAUAAAUAAGAUUUUAUUAAGAGAGAGAGAGAGAGAGAGACCAAGUCUGUCGUGACCUAGAUUUGCAGCAAAUUAGCUUAGGAUUUGAGAUUUGAUUGAGUCCAUUCCAUCUAUUAAAUCCUCUCAUCAAGUUGAUAUGCAUUUGAUUUGGACGUAGUUAAAUCAUUUAAAUUGGGCACGAUAGAUUAGUAGCUAGAACCGUCAGACCUCUUUGCUUGAACCAAUCUUAGUUCUUCGUACCUUCACUCGCGACUCUUAUCAAGCAUGACCUCGGAACGGGCCAUACGCUAUAUAUAUAUUGCUAAGUUUGCUCCAAAUAAUCAUCGGCUCCUAGUGCAAUCUUGUGAUGACUGUAGACUGACGUAGAUUUUAGAUACUCUCAGCGCCACCCGCGAGCCAUGACAAAAAAAGUAUCAAAUUAAUUCAAAUAACUGACUUUGUCUGUUAAAGGUUUUUGUUUCGUGGAAGCCUUCUGCUUAACCCAAUUGGAACCUGCAAGGCAUCUCUCAAUCAAUUGCUAUGAUGAUAAAAAUCUGAGCACUACAUUAGAUUUGAUGCACCUGAUCGCUUGUAGAUUUUAUCUUGGAUUUUGCUUUCCACAAUGGAUUUCACUUUUCAAUUUUUACAUUUACCUUGUUCACUUAAAUAUCUGCUUUCUGAUCUCAUAGGCCAUAGCCUUCUACCUUUCUUGAAGCCGCCUCUGCAUCAAGAUGAAGACAAGAGUACAUAUUUGUAAUGGUAUUAUAUAUAUAUAUAUAUUUCGUGUAGAUUUGCGGCUACUUGCUCACAAAUUAUAUAAGCUCUCACCUUCCAUUCCACGUCGGCCUAAAUUUCUUUCCCAUGCGAAAGGGUUUAUCUCUGGGCCAGCUCAUUCCGGCCGCCAUAUUUUUUUAAUAAGAAAAACAAAAAUUUAAGUCAUGCGUUAUUUUUCUCGAGACGGAAAGAAAAAAAAAAAGAAGCAUUGAGCUGCCUUUGUUUAAAAAAAAAGAAAAAGAAAAAAAAAAGACAUCAGUAAGGCAGAUAGCGAUCAAUUAUCAUCACCGUUGAAUGCGAGGAAUUGUCGCCCACACCGCGUGCACGAGGGUGGCCGCGUACGCCGUCAAUCAUGACCGUUGGUUUUUAUCAUGAUAUAUCGAGUGCGCGCUUGAUGGAUGAGGUUCGUAGAAUCGGCGAUCCUGAUUGGCUGCCGUAGGCAAUGACUACUCUUUUUUUUUUGCAAACGAGCAAUAACUACUCAUUGAACACGCGUCUCGAGAGGGAAGUGGACUUCCUGCCGCUGAUCCGGGGGCGGCGGCGAUCUCAGCCGUCCGCGUGCCCCCUCCCAACGACCUUCCCCUUUCCUUCACGGAGCCUUCCCGGAAAAAAAAAAGUAGAAAGUCAGGAAUCCCCCAUAAUUCAUAAAUACCCCAAACUCCCCCUUUGCAUCACAACGUAAGAUCCAGUUAGUCUUGUUUCCUUUAUUUUUUCUCUGCCCCCCCGGAAAAAAGAUCGAGAGAGAUGGACGGAGCUCCGGCGAAUGAGUUCCCGGUGGUGGUGACGCAUGGAGGCCGAUAUCUUCAGUACAACAUAUUCAACAAUUUGUUUGAGAUCACUGCCAAGUAUCAGCCUCCCGUGAUGCCCAUUGGAAGGGGCGCAUACGGGAUCGUUUGGUACCCGUUCUUUCUCUCUCUCUCUCAUUUUUCUCGUGAAUUCUUCUUAUUUGUUUUACUUUUACCAAAGCAAGAAUUAUAAUCGGAAAAGAAUUGAUAGCUUCUGAUGAGCUAGAGUUGAUUAUUGUGGAGCCAAAUAGCUCUUGAUGCUGAUCCAAUUUGGAUCGUUUCACCGUGUGAUCUGUAAACCGUGCUGACUUUGAAAUUUUUCCUGGGUGUUUGUUUUGUAGUUCGGUGAUGAAUUCGGAGACAGGAGAGAUGGUUGCAAUCAAGAAGAUCGCCAACGCAUUUGAUAACCACAUGGAUGCAAAGCGGACCCUUCGCGAAAUCAAGCUCCUGAGACAUUUGGACCAUGAGAAUGUACGCGAUCGCUGCAGCCACUUUUCUAGAUCUUUUAGUUUUACAUAAUCGCUGGAUUUGCCUUCCUUGAUUGCCAAUUCUAUCAGCAUAUAGUUAUUUUGUGAGGAACUUUGUCAUCGGAUUGUGUCCCCAAGGAUCCUGUAGUGUUCAUAAAGCACAAAACUUUUGUUUUUCCUCUUUCCUGUUUUUUUUGUGUGUGAAAUUUUGUUGCUUUGCCUAGAGCGAAUUGCUCAAAGCUUCAUUCUUGCUUCUGUGUUCUAAGUACAGUUCUGGUGCUCGAGGACUUGUCCAGCUUAAUCCUCCCUCCCCCUAAGAAAAUCAGUCUAAUCUAGUCCUUGGUAUUGAAUUUAUUAUACGAUAGCUUAUUUGAUUUUUCUCUGUAUGUGAUUAUAGUAGCAUGAUUGAUGGAGCUGCAUGAAGAAUCUGACGUCACGAACUUCCUUCCAAGCGAGAAAAAGGAACAAGAGAAUCUGACAUCAUGGACAACAUGCGUAUUGAAUGAUUCAACCCACCAAGAAAAACUGAUAAAACCUAAAGUGUGAAUCUAUCUAAUUUAUCAUGUAUGCUUCUCGAGUGCAAGAUCUCCUGAAGCAUUCAAAUUAUAAAUUCAAGACCUUUGUCUAUGUAAGCUUUUAUAUUGUAUGGUCAUCAUCAACUCCUGCUACUAGCGUAUUUUGACUAUAGAAGUAGUUUGUUAGAUGUAGGAAGUUGUUUAAUUAGAGUACUCAAAGAUAAAAAAAUUUGGCAUUUCAAUGACAAUCAGGAUAGCUCAAUUAAGCUCAGAAAAAUGGUCGGCAUGUUGCAAUUUCUUAGACUUGACCUGUCUCCUGCUUAAGUCCCAUCAUUGACACCACCUAUUUGAAAAUGGGGAUAUGGUGAAAUUAAGUACUUUGUCCUCUCAUGACAAUAGUAUUUGAGAGCUAAAUCUGAUGGCUGUUUAAUCUGGAUUUAGCUUUUGGUUUGCCCAGGAUUUCAUUUGACUGUUACUGCACAGACAUCUAGUGUGCUGGGAGCUUGAAUCAUUUGUUUUGUAACUUGUUGUUUUGUUUUCAUUGCCUGACACACAAUGAUCGUCUCUCUCAAGAUACAGUAAAAAUUCGCUGGGUAUUUCUAAGAGGUGUGCGCUAGUUAACCUUCCUUCAUGUCAUGCUAAGGUUAUUUUGGCAAAUGAUCGAACAGUUUCUAAUAUUAAGAACUAGAGCAAUUUCAUUUUCCAUCCAAGUUACUGGAAAUAUAAGUUUAACAGUCAUAUCAAGAUGCUGGCAACCUUUGUACGUACAAGCUGAAAUUAGCAACUAUGUGCUCUUAUCAGUUUAACAGAUACUUAAAACUUGAUAUCUGGAUUAAAAAAAUUCAGAUGGAGUACAACUCAAAUCAUUUUUUGUUUCCAAUAUUCUUUAGACACAUGCAAGUUGAGAUGUUAGUAAAAACUUCAUGUUGUGGUUCAAAUUCAGCUAGAAAAAUGCCUAAAUCAUGACUCAUUUUGCAGAAUUUUAAGACCUGCUGGAAUCAGCAAAAUUUUCAAUAAUAGAUUUUUUUUUUUUUUGAUAUUGCAUCACCUAAGUUAUUUUUUUUUCAAUUUUUAUUUUGAAGAUGAAAUAUUCACACCACUUUUACUUGAUUCUUAUCUUGAUUGAAUGCUGUUACUUGCAGGUUAUAGGAAUACGAGAUGUAAUCCCACCACCUAUCCCCCAGGCAUUUAAUGAUGUGUAUGUUGCAACUGAGCUUAUGGACACUGACCUCCAUCAUAUAAUUCGCUCCAAUCAAGAAUUAUCAGAGGAGCAUUGUCAGGUAGUAGUUCUGGUCCACGUUUCUCCAUUUUAUACACAGAAAAUCAGUUUCAUUUGCAAGUCUAAUCCCUGGCAACUGAUGAAUGGCUUCCUACUGGCCAAUCAUUCAGUACUUUCUGUAUCAGAUCCUUCGUGGUUUGAAAUAUAUACAUUCAGCGAAUGUUAUUCAUCGAGAUCUGAAGCCCAGCAAUCUUCUGCUUAAUGCAAACUGUGAUCUAAAAAUAUGUGAUUUUGGUCUUGCACGUCCUACAUCAGAAAAUGAAAAUAUGACUGAGUACGUAGUUACUAGGUGGUACAGAGCACCAGAAUUGCUGCUGAAUUCAACAGACUAUACUGCUUCCAUUGAUAUAUGGUCUGUAGGCUGCAUUUUUAUGGAGCUAAUGAAUAGGAAACCGCUGUUUCCUGGACGGGACCACAUGCAUCAGAUGCGUUUAAUUACAGAGGUACGAUAACUACCAGCUAGUGAGACUUCAUGAAUUUGAAAAAUAUAUUAAGUUAAAAAGGAGUUAAUAAUUUGACAGUUCGAGUACUUGUUUCUAGUGCUGAUGCUUACGACACAUCUUUUAAUCUUUCAGUGCAUUGGCACACCCACUGAAGCGGAGCUUGGAUUUCUACGGAGUGAAGAUGCAAGAAGGUAUAUGAGGCAUCUACCCCAGUAUCCUCGUCAACCAUUUACAAGCCUAUUUCCCCAUGUUCAUCCAGCUGCAAUUGAUCUUGUGGAAAAAAUGUUGACAUUCAAUCCCUCCAAAAGAGUUACAGGUAUUUUCUUUUUCUUCAUCUUUAAGAGGUUUUUAGUGCUAUAUUUGUUAAUUUCCCCAAUUGCUAGAACCAAGAAAGAAACAAGGGAGAAGACUUGGUCAUAUUUCAGGUAUAGUUUUAAGUAAAUAAUUAGAGAUAAAAAAGAAUCUAGGGAAUGAAAGAAAAAGGUUCCAUCUUCUUCUUGUUGUGAGUUACAGUGUACUUUUGGCUAGCUUUAUUGAAUGAUUAGCCUAAGAGACAAAUCUAAUGACUGUCUUUCUUAAAUGCUUUGGUACCUAUAGAAAACCACAUUCAGGCUCAGCACCCUGUUCUUGUUCUGAAAAUAAAAGCUUAUCAAUGCUAGCUGUCAUUUUGAUUGCUUAUAUACUCGCUGUCAUUUUGGUUGCUUAUAUACUCACUGCCAAUGGUAUAUAGCUGUUUAUCACAAGAUCAGAAAUUCAGACCCCUCUUUCAGCAAUUUAUUGGCCGAUGACUGAUAGAUAAGAUUGGAAGUAAUGUCUAUGCUCGUAAAUAUUAGUUAUAUUGCUUCCAAAGAGUAGUAUCAAGGAACCUAGGAGAGAGGGCCCAACCAAUAUGUUUUGUGUGUUUUGGGAGAACUGGAAAUUAUAUUACAAGAGGCAAGCUUCUUUUUUUGAAGAUUAUUUUAUUACUAUGGCACAUGCAAGCUUCUCCAGAAAAAGAGAACCACUUUAAUACUUGCUAUGAUAAUACAAUUUAGGAGGAUUCUUUUACUGUGAAAUUAUAUCUAUGCCUUUUCCAUCUAGUGAGUAAUAACUCUUCUUCGAGUGUGAUUGUAGUGGGACUAUCUUAGGUCCAUUACACUGUCUUCUUCAUAUGGGUUCCUUUUUGUGAAUCACAUCUGCUUACAAUACUUGGGGAGGAUAUAACUUAUUGACUGCUUAAAAGUUGAUCCAUUGCUUCUUGUUGUCAUUCUAAUUCUUUUUGCUUAUGCUUCUGCAGUCGAAGAAGCACUCUCUCAUCCAUACCUUGAAAGGUUACAUGACAUUGCUGAUGAACCUGUUUGUAUGGAACCUUUCUCCUUCGACUUCGAGCAAAAUGCCUUAAGUGAGGAGCAAAUGAAAGAGUUGAUAUACAGGGAAGCUCUAGCACUCAACUCAGACUCUGGCCACUGAAAAAAAAAAAUUAUCAUUCCAAACUUUCUGAUUUGAAUGCUUUUGUAAAUAUAUGAGAGCCUGAAGACUUUGGCGAUUGAAAUAUUCAGAUUUUUAUUUUGUAUUUGGGUGUGCAUGAGGAAGUUAUUUAUUUGUGCACAUAUGACAUCUGAGUUGCAUGUCAAUGUAUUUGUGAGACAACAUUAUGUAUACCUGGGUGUGUUUGUAUCAAAAAUAUGUUCAAUAUCGAAAUGUUCAAAAUUUUAGUUUAUCUUCUCUCAUUUUCUGAAUCUCGUAGUAUGAUAUUGCAGUUUCCUGAGGAAUCUUCAAUUUCAUUCAGCACAUUUCGAUAUUACCUGAUUUAUGUCUUAUGGUGCCAAACAAAAGCAUUACUGAUUUUAUUGGAUUAAGCCUUUUAGCUGUUCUGCCAAGCUUAAAUAUGUGUAUGUGAUGCCGUAUACUACGUUUAAGUUCUUGUCCUCUAUGGUGCCAUCAUAGCACCAGAAUACCAGGUCCCAUCAGAAGUUCUCAUUCUAGAUGUUCAGACAACUCUGAUGAAGGAUCGGAGAUGUCAAAAGCUGAAAGAAAAAAACAAAAAAGAUGGUGUUGAUAAUAUAAAGUCGUCAGGACUUGUUUCAAAAGACCUAUUAGCUUGUUCAUCAAAAAUUAGCUUAUUAUAAAUUCCUCAAGACAAUAUAAGUCUUCAAGACGGCUGCAAAAUUAGCUUGUUUCAAAAGACUUGUUUCUUUUCCACCAUACUCCAUCUAGUUUUAGUAAUCCAGUACUCUGCCAACAUUUAGCUUGUUCCAUUGUUGGGAUUACUUCUUUCCUUUGCUGCACUUAGUGCAGAGCUGCAUGAACUUCCCCCUGGCAUUUCCAAGUAAAUUUGCUUCUGUGCUGUUUCAAUCUGGCUUCAGAGAAAUUGGCUGCAGAAACUUAAUGCAGUGAACUCCAAAUAAGAUGCGUUAUGUGGCACUGAGAAAAAGUGAGGGCUGCAAAGUUUACAUGAAGCAAAGGAGUCCUAGGCUUGGUGGAGCGCAUAACGAAGGACAAUAAAUUGUUAUCAAGAGUCCCUUCUUCUCCAAUAAUUGGAUGAUUGUCCUCAAAGGAGUGCAACAGGAGUGGCCCAACAAGAACUGCUUGGCUUUGGAGUUUCUUCGCAUAACAAGAUGCCACCCUAUUAAAGGCACUCACAAAAAGCCAUGGAUGGUAGCCAAAGUUCCGUAGAUCCAUCAAAGUGCAAUCUUUUUUUCAUAGUAGCAACAUCAAUUAACCAAACUCUUGAGACCUAAUGAUAAAGUUAAAUAAAUAUCUAAAUCGGAUUCAUAAGUAGAUGACCUCACAUUUAUGAAACUUAACCUAGAAGGAAGCCGUUCUCAGUUCUCUUCAGGCUCUCUCCUCCCUGGUCCAGCUCAUGUUCUCUCUUCUUGUUCUUUGUGGGGGCAAGCUGCCCGGAUAUUGCUCAUGUGAUACUUUUUACUUUAUAGCUAUUCAAAUGUUCAAUCCAGAAAGGCCCAUCUCAUCUUUGCUGGAAGCCAGUAACUCCAAUAAACUGUGGACAUUGAGGAAAAAGUGAGGACAUUGAGGAAACCUACAGGGUUAAGUGAGGUUGAAGCUCAACUGAUAGCCCUAGGAGUUUAAUAAUGCGAGAUGAAGAUUACACACACAAACACACACAAUAGUGACUCAAUUUGGUUAAUUGCAAUAGAAAAAUAAAUGCACAAUAAGGAAAAGAAUGCGCGAGAAGAGAAUGGAGUGGCACAAGAGAUUUUGAAUUGUUCUGCAUUUUACACGCUGGUUAUCUUUAGUAGAAGAAACUAGAAUAUCCCAUGCAUCCUUGGAAAAUUGAUAGUUAAUUUAGAUUAGCAGCAAAGUAAUUUGAUUUACUAAGUUGAUGAACAUUCUCUAUUUGUAAAAUAAUGCUUGCAGCCAAGAAUUCUAUGUAGUGAACCUUCAUAAUUUAUCCAUGAACUCCACAAUGCCUCAUUUGUCACACCCCUCUUUACCUUUUUUUUCCCUUUUUUUUGCUUGAGGCCAUGGAUUUGAAUUUCUCAGUUCGGACGAAGUGGCAUUUUUUUUGACCUAAUGGGGUAGAUCUAUUUUUACUCUGGUUGAGUUGAGAUAUCUUAGUUGGACUCAACAGUUCUGGUCAUCCAAAAAGAAUAAUUUCCACCAGAAAACAUAUUGUAACCCAGAAGUUUGGAUUUAUACUGGAUCGGUCAACUUGAUGUGCCAAUUAGAUCAAUGGAGUUGCUGGAAUGGCUAAAAAGAAAUUAGAAUAUAGGUGUCAUUAGGUGGAAGAUCUUAAAAUAGGCAAAUCGGCACGAGAAUAAAAAGAACCAACGUUCCAUCGAGAAAGAAAAAAAAAGGACAACUUGUAAAUUGGACUUGAGUGCGACCCUAUUGACCCUAUCCACCGUAAUGACUCCAAACUAUUAAAAAAUUAAAUUAUCAAAGGAAUCCCCAAUCAACCAAGUACUACUCCCGAGGCCAGGAGCGGUGAGCUAACCUUGCGAGUGGCUAGACUCCGGCAAAAGAUAGAAGCAGCUGGAAGGCCCGAAGCCAGAGCGAGACUCGGCCGGGGAGGAUCUGAUCCGGUCACCGUCCGGUGAGAGAAAAUCCAGGGCCAUCGGUUUGCGGGCGCCACGUGCCCUUUCUCCUUUAUAAAGGAAAAAGGGGCCUUCUCGCCUCGCGGGGAGCCGAUCUCCUUCCCACUUCCGACUCCCUUUUCAGUUUGCAGGCUUUUUCUUUUCCCUCUAUUGUUUUCUGCCAACACUACAGCAGACUGCGGAUGCCUCUGUAACUCAAAUCUUAUGAUCUCGGACUAAGUCAAGGAGCUUUGGCUCUCCAUAAAUGGCGAAUAAUCUCCAAUUCUUCUUCCUCCAUCUGUUUCUUUUCUCCGUUUCUAAUGCUCAGAUGCCAGGUAUGUUACAGUGAAUUAUUCUAUAAGAUUAUUAGGUUUUUUUUUCUUCCUUUCAAUACACUGGAUGCAUUGUUUGUAGUUGGAUCUGCUGGUGGAUGUGGAAAAGUAAGGAUUACUGCUCUGGACUUUUAGUUUGUCCUCGUGAACACAAAUUGAUUGAACAUUUCUUUGCAUGUAAUUUGUUGUGAUGUCGACAUCUUGUUAUAAGUUCAUGAUAGUUAGAGAUAGACACAAUAAUUCACCUUUUCGGGUUUCAUUAUCCUGGCGACUUCUGUUGUCAUCAUUGUGUUGUGGCGUGAUAUUUUGCUUGUUCAGUAAUAAUCCAAUGAGGAUCAUCAUUGUUCUAUAUUCGAAUGUUGAGUAGUAAGAAUCCACAAAAUGUUUAUUACCCUGACAUGCAAAAAUUGCAGUCUAAAUUUUUCUUCUGAAAGUAUAAUAAUUCUGAAAAUUUGAAGCUUCGUUUACCUAUCAAGUCAUUAUUAGUACAUUGAAAAUCUACUUCUGAUGCAAUAUAGAAAAGAAUAGUCUCACUUCCAUUGUCAUUUUCAGCUCAUAUGAAUAUAAAUGGCAUAAGUGGUCUGACCAACAAUUCGUGUAUCUUGCUCUAGUAAUAAUGGAAGUUAUAACACUGAGGCAGUUGAUGACCUCUAUGUGCUCUCUUUCUCUCUCUCUCUCUCAAUAUUUUUAUUUUAGCAACCCAAGGUUUGAACCCUGGAACUCUCGAAGAGAAAGCCCAUAGGGGUGAGGUUCCAACAACUGUUAUUAACAGUUGUUGGCAUCUCUAGGUGCGCACUUCUUUUUAAAAUUCUCUAUGCUGCUGAUUUUUCCCCCUCAAUUUCUCAUAUGUUGUCUGCCUGUCACCUUAGCAUAUGUCUCAUAGUGCUAUUUCAUUGAAUCAUAUUUAUUUAUUGAAAGCAUUUUUUUUCCCUUUUCUAUAAGUAACUAGCUUCUAGUUAGAUGUAUCUGAACAAAGAUACAUGAUAUGCAGCAUUUUUUUUUCUUUUAAGAAAUAAUUUAUGUGCAUGCUCUUCAUGAGGCAGGUUUUUUGAGUCUGGACUGUGGAGGUACAGAGAAUCAUACGGAUGAUCUUGGUCUUGAGUGGACUCCAGACAAUCAGUCGAGUUUUGGUGGAACAGCUAAUGUAUCAGUUCCAAAUGAGACCCGGAGACAAUUUACAACAGUACGUUACUUCCCUGCAGAUAAUAGAAAGUACUGUUACACAUUGGAUGUGAUAACCAGAACUCGGUAUCUUGUACGAGCAAGCUUCUUGUAUGGGAACUUUGAUAACAGCAAUGUUUACCCAAAAUUUGACAUCUCAAUCGGGGCAACUUAUUGGUCAACCAUUGUUAUCUAUGACGCAGACGCCAUAAUAAGUGAGGAGUUGAUUUUGUUGGCUUCUUCUCCUAAAAUUAGCCUGUGCUUAUCUAAUGCUACAACUGGACAACCAUUUAUUUCUGCCCUCGAGCUACGACAGUUCAAUAAUUCACUUUAUCACACAGAAUUUGAAGCUCAGUUCUUUAUGAGCCUCUCUGCAAGAAUAAAUUUUGGUGCAGAGACUAAUGAGUCUGUCAGGUAUUCCUUGUUCAUGCUUUAAGAUCUGUUUCACAGUUCUUGACUGCUGUUUUUUGGAUAUUUCUUUUGGUUUCUAAUACAUUACCCUCUUGAAGAAACUGAUUUAGAUGUUUACAUGUGUCAAAAGAUGAUGCAAAUGCUCUGUGAUCAUCCUACUUUACCGAAAUAGUUUGUGACUACAAAGUGGAUGCUCUUCUAUGAUCAUGUUGUGGGUGUGGUUUCCUAACAUGUAAGAUAAGAUUAAGGAUGUUAUUAAUCUGCACCUGUCCUGUACUAUCUGAAAUCCAUGACAUUCCGUUGGCAUCUACUUUGAAAAGCACCCAUCACUUAAAAUUCUCUAGAAUUACCCUACAGAUCUAGCUACACAAUCUAGACUGAAAAAAAAUCAUGCAUGAGUGUUGAUAGGCAUGUCACGUUAUUGCUUCCUAGCUGGCUUAUGAUAAACACAACAAUGCUCAUUUGUCAUAGUCAUGUAAUAUAAUUGUGCCCAAUAUUACUGCUAUGUAGGUUUCUAAAUCUCAUAACUAUUCUCUUAUGAAUAUGAUGUCUAUGCUCCAUAUCAUGCACCCCAAAACCCAUGAAUUGGAAAGAGUUCGCUCAUUUUAUUUUGAUCUGAGAACUCUUCGAAUUUAAAUCCAAGAAUUCAUGAUAACCAUAGAUCUGUUGCCCACAAUAUUGUAGAACUCUUGAAGAUUAACUUGAAGCAAUCAAAUGUUCCUGCCUAGUCUAGUGAUCAUCGAAUCUUUGCGAUAUAUGUGGGCCCAUGAAGAAAGAAGUGAUUAUAUGCCUACCAAGAAAAGAAAAAAAGAAACUGAAAAUAUAAAACUUCAGAAAUCAGAUAUAUUUUUUCUAAAUGCAAGAUAGAGUAAAUACAGGACUACUAAUACAAUACAGGAUCCUAAUAAUGUCCUUGCAGACUAGAAUAAACAUUUAUCAUAUGAUGAUGGACCUGACAGCAAAGGUCCAUCUUCUUUAAAACUGAAAAAAACACUUCCAAAUUGAAUGAAAAACUUUACUCUGGAAUAUCUUUAUCAUCUGAUGGUUGACCUGGCAGUCAAAUCUCUGUCAUCUGUUUAAGCUGAAAAAAGCAUUUUUUUAGAUUGAGUAAGAAUUUUAAUUGGGCAUAAAAGAUUACACUUUAAGACUUGGAUAAGUUUCUAAAAUUAAGCAUCCAGAGAGUAGCAUUAUUUUCUUUUAGUUCUGUUUAUGCUUUAGCCAUCGUACAUCCUCCUCCCCACCUUGCUUUGUCAUUAUGUUGUGGCAUGUCAAGGUUUUUUACGUUCUACUGAUGUUUUUCUUUCAGGUAUCCAGAUGAUCCAUUUGAUAGAAUAUGGGAAUCUGAUUCUUUGAGGAGGGCAAACUACCUUGUUGACGUUGCUCCUGGAACUGAAAAAGUAUCAACAACAUUGCCUGUAGAUGUUAGCACUGGUGAAAGACCACCUCAAAAGGUGAUGCAGACAGCUGUAGUGGGUCAAAAUGGAACCUUAACUUAUCGGCUAAACUUGGAUGGUUUUCCAGGGUUUGGUUGGGCAUUCUCAUACUUUGCAGAAAUCGAGGAUUUUGGUUCAAAUGAAACAAGGAAAUUUAAGUUAGCUAUUCCGGGAAAUAAGGAUGUCAGUAAACCCACAGUCAACAUUGAAGAAAAUGCUCCAGGGAAGUAUCGGUUGUAUGAACCAGGAUACUAUAACAUAUCCUUACCAUUUGUCUUCUCUUUCGCAUUUGUGAAAACAAAUGACUCAUCCAGGGGACCUAUCUUAAAUGCUUUGGAGAUCUACAAGUACCUGCAGAUAAAUUAUGGCUCUCAAGAUGGUAAGCUUGAAUAUCGUUUUGUCAUACCUGUCUAAAUUGUGU